GAUGAACGCUGGCGGCGUGCCUAAUACAUGCAAGCCGAGCGAACAGACGAGGAGCUUGCUCCUCUGACGUUAGCGGCGGACGGGUGAGUAACACGUGGAUAACCUACCUAUAAGACUGGGAUAACUUCGGGAAACCGGAGCUAAUACCGGAUAAUAUAUUGAACCGCAUGGUUCAAUAGUGAAAGACGGUUUUGCUGUCACUUAUAGAUGGAUCCGCGCCGCAUUAGCUAGUUGGUAAGGUAACGGCUUACCAAGGCAACGAUGCGUAGCCGACCUGAGAGGGUGAUCGGCCACACUGGAACUGAGACACGGUCCAGACUCCUACGGGAGGCAGCAGUAGGGAAUCUUCCGCAAUGGGCGAAAGCUUGACGGAGCAACGCCGCGUGAGUGAUGAAGGUCUUCGGAUCGUAAAACUCUGUUAUUAGGGAAGAACAAAUGUGUAAGUAACUAUGCACGUCUUGACGGUACCUAAUCAGAAAGCCACGGCUAACUACG
Molecule: ribosomal RNA, 495 nt
Filed under: uncultured bacterium
Lineage: Bacteria
Description: partial 16S ribosomal RNA
Rfam family: Bacterial small subunit ribosomal RNA
Source: RNAcentral